CUCCUACGGGAGGCAGCAGUGGGGAAUCUUGCACAAUGGGCGAAAGCCUGAUGCAGCGACGCCGCGUGGGGGAUGAAGCUUUUCGGAGUGUAAACCCCUUUCGACCCGGACGAAUGCCCCGCGAGGGGACUGACGGUACGGGUAUAAGAAGCCCCGGCUAACUACGUGCCAGCAGCCGCGGUAAUACGUAGGGGGCCAGCGUUGCUCGGAAUUACUGGGUGUAAAGGGUUCGUAGGCGGUGCGGCAAGUUGGGAGUGAAAUCUCUGGGCUCAACCCAGAGGCUGCUUUCAAAACUGCUGUGCUUGAGUGUGGGAGAGGCGCGUGGAAUUGCAGGUGUAGCGGUGAAAUGCGUAGAUAUCUGCAGGGACACCCGUGGCGAAAGCGGCGCGCUGGACCACAACUGACGCUGAGGAACGAAAGCUAGGGGAGCAAACAGGAUUAGAUACCCUGGUAGUCCUAGCCCUAAACGAUCAGGACUUGGGGUGGCUCACGUUCGUGAGUCGUCCCGGAGCUAACGCGUUAA
RNAcentral lists this ribosomal RNA (523 nucleotides) under uncultured bacterium. RNAcentral describes it as "bacterial SSU rRNA". It matches the Rfam family "Bacterial small subunit ribosomal RNA", at positions 336 to 863 of the family's 1533-position model. The record is from RNAcentral.